Molecule: long non-coding RNA, 1176 nt
Filed under: Pectinophora gossypiella (pink bollworm)
Lineage: Eukaryota; Metazoa; Arthropoda; Insecta; Lepidoptera; Gelechiidae
Description: uncharacterized LOC126366679
Source: RNAcentral
CCUGGGGGGCUACCGGCUAAGACGAAGCCGAUUCAGAUUGGAGCAAAUCGAACAUCGAUUUGAUUCUGUCGUACCGCGUAAACAGCCAAGAUGGCGAUCCCCGAUUCGUGACGUCACAUGAAGUUCGGCAAGCCGAUUGAACGAAUGAUUUCAGUACUUUUGACACUAAAAUCGCUACCGCGUAAAAAAUCGAAGUUCGGCGUCUGAAGCCGAUUCCCAUUGGAAGUGUCAGUUGAAGCCGGGCACUUUUCAGUAACCGUGAUCAAUUUUAAUUUCUUAUUUUCACUGUUUUUCACCAAUAUUAGGAGCUAUUUACGGUGGGCGACAAAUUUUAGAAACAUCUUAAUCAAUAUAAAUUGAUAUCGGCGUGGAUUUUCGUGUUUAAAUACCUAAAUACAGUGUCAUGGAGAUAGUCGUUUUAUGGGCUGCUGCGGAAGAAAAUGUCUUCAGAAUCUUGAGCAAAUCGAUUGCAGGAUACUUCGAGAGAAAAGCCAGUAUAUACUUCUCACAGGUACAUCUAUUUAUAACAUUAUUUCUGACAAGUGGCUCAAUGUUUACAGAGGAAAAGUUGCUGAACUUACUAGAAGCGAUUUUUGAUCAUUUCAUACUUAUCUAUUUUGUUUUGUUUCAGAGAGUAGCUACAUUGGUAAUUUUAGAUUAUCAAAAGAUGCAUUUCGGACUUUGUAUCAUGACUUAGGACCAUAUCUGAAGGUCCAAUGCUCUACAACUGUGCAAUCGACUUUAAGUGACAAAUGCCCUCAAUCAGCCUGCAAUCGUGAGAUAAUCUAUCAAGUUUCCUCGGACAAAAACUGAGCAUAUAGAAGUCUCCAGAGGUUUUAAUGACAAAUUUGGAUUUCUUGGAGUACUUGGAUGCAUCCAUGGCACACACAUUGCCAUUAUCCAACCUCACAAGUGGGAAGAGGCCUUCUUCAAUAGCAAGUAUUACCAUUCAUUGCAUGUUAUGUUGGUUUGUGAUGGAGAUAUGUGCAUUACAUUUGUGAUGCAUCCAAUGGGAGUGUUAGUGCUAGACUGCUAGCCAAGAUAACCAUAUUUGGAACAACAGCACUUUGAGAAGGGAAAAGGAACAUCUCCUUAAUUUUAAUAUGUUUAAGUUCAUUAAGUGGACUUGUGUGGUCCUUGAAAUGUAAAUUAUGAAGUCAGUGUGGUGUAAUCAAA